UUAAUUGAAGCCAAAAUAGAGGCCUAUCACUGUUAAUGAUAUCAUUGAAUUAUUAUAUUCCAAUUAAA
RNAcentral lists this transfer RNA (68 nucleotides) under Myrmeleon immanis. RNAcentral describes it as "tRNA-Asn". The record is from RNAcentral. Lineage: Eukaryota; Metazoa; Arthropoda; Insecta; Neuroptera; Myrmeleontidae.